Molecule: non-coding RNA, 108 nt
Organism: Acanthosepion pharaonis
Lineage: Eukaryota; Metazoa; Mollusca; Cephalopoda; Sepiida; Sepiidae
Source: the annotation of a GenBank genome assembly
UUACGGCCACAUCACGUUGAAACACCGGUUCCCUUACGAUCACCGAAAUUAAGCAACGUCGAGCCUCGUUAGUACCUAGAUGGGUGACCGUUUGGAAAUAUCAAGUGC